Long non-coding RNA from Cyprinus carpio carpio, 507 nucleotides. The record is from Ensembl. NCBI's taxonomy places the organism in Eukaryota, Metazoa, Chordata, Actinopteri, Cypriniformes, Cyprinidae.
CACACCCAUUCCUCUGUGGUCAGUGUGAUGUCAGGGUCCACCGAGGUCAAGUGUUCCACAACAGGGAUUCGAUGACACAUGCAUUCUUUCAUCCAUUGCCUCCCACAACUUGUGUUGUGGAGAGGGUUCUAACCCAGUGUGAGCGUCUUGUACCUUUGGAGAUGCCAGAGACAAUAUGCGGUUGUCUACGAGUAUCGUCCAGUGUCAUCGCAGGACAGUCCAUAGUUGUGGUUACAAUGAAUGGGCGAUAUGAUCUCAGAUUGCCUCAGAUUAGAUGCAAAGCAUGUGAAGCCACUUGGAGUCCUGGAGUGGAUGACCUGAUCCGUAAUGACUACUGGCCUGCCACUUCUCACUAUUCAACUGUGUAUGCAACAGAUGUCCUUUUUUCUUUUGAAGAGCUGAAGAUGGCAGCACCAGGGAUGUCUAGCCAAGCAUUUCUUAGAAUGCUGGAUCAACGCACUGUUCGCUUUGGCCGUUUUGCACUGAGACAUUUCCAAAAAAAAAAAA